This 2901-nucleotide ribosomal RNA is filed under the name Escherichia coli 2-177-06_S4_C1. Its description in RNAcentral is "bacterial LSU rRNA". It matches the Rfam family "Bacterial large subunit ribosomal RNA". The record is from RNAcentral. Lineage: Bacteria; Pseudomonadati; Pseudomonadota; Gammaproteobacteria; Enterobacterales; Enterobacteriaceae.
UAAGCGACUAAGCGUACACGGUGGAUGCCCUGGCAGUCAGAGGCGAUGAAGGACGUGCUAAUCUGCGAUAAGCGUCGGUAAGGUGAUAUGAACCGUUAUAACCGGCGAUUUCCGAAUGGGGAAACCCAGUGUGUUUCGACACACUAUCAUUAACUGAAUCCAUAGGUUAAUGAGGCGAACCGGGGGAACUGAAACAUCUAAGUACCCCGAGGAAAAGAAAUCAACCGAGAUUCCCCCAGUAGCGGCGAGCGAACGGGGAGGAGCCCAGAGCCUGAAUCAGUGUGUGUGUUAGUGGAAGCGUCUGGAAAGGCGCGCGAUACAGGGUGACAGCCCCGUACACAAAAAUGCACAUACUGUGAGCUCGAUGAGUAGGGCGGGACACGUGGUAUCCUGUCUGAAUAUGGGGGGACCAUCCUCCAAGGCUAAAUACUCCUGACUGACCGAUAGUGAACCAGUACCGUGAGGGAAAGGCGAAAAGAACCCCGGCGAGGGGAGUGAAAAAGAACCUGAAACCGUGUACGUACAAGCAGUGGGAGCCUCUUUAUGGGGUGACUGCGUACCUUUUGUAUAAUGGGUCAGCGACUUAUAUUCUGUAGCAAGGUUAACCGAAUAGGGGAGCCGAAGGGAAACCGAGUCUUAACUGGGCGUUAAGUUGCAGGGUAUAGACCCGAAACCCGGUGAUCUAGCCAUGGGCAGGUUGAAGGUUGGGUAACACUAACUGGAGGACCGAACCGACUAAUGUUGAAAAAUUAGCGGAUGACUUGUGGCUGGGGGUGAAAGGCCAAUCAAACCGGGAGAUAGCUGGUUCUCCCCGAAAGCUAUUUAGGUAGCGCCUCGUGAAUUCAUCUCCGGGGGUAGAGCACUGUUUCGGCAAGGGGGUCAUCCCGACUUACCAACCCGAUGCAAACUGCGAAUACCGGAGAAUGUUAUCACGGGAGACACACGGCGGGUGCUAACGUCCGUCGUGAAGAGGGAAACAACCCAGACCGCCAGCUAAGGUCCCAAAGUCAUGGUUAAGUGGGAAACGAUGUGGGAAGGCCCAGACAGCCAGGAUGUUGGCUUAGAAGCAGCCAUCAUUUAAAGAAAGCGUAAUAGCUCACUGGUCGAGUCGGCCUGCGCGGAAGAUGUAACGGGGCUAAACCAUGCACCGAAGCUGCGGCAGCGACGCUUAUGCGUUGUUGGGUAGGGGAGCGUUCUGUAAGCCUGUGAAGGUGUGCUGUGAGGCAUGCUGGAGGUAUCAGAAGUGCGAAUGCUGACAUAAGUAACGAUAAAGCGGGUGAAAAGCCCGCUCGCCGGAAGACCAAGGGUUCCUGUCCAACGUUAAUCGGGGCAGGGUGAGUCGACCCCUAAGGCGAGGCCGAAAGGCGUAGUCGAUGGGAAACAGGUUAAUAUUCCUGUACUUGGUGUUACUGCGAAGGGGGGACGGAGAAGGCUAUGUUGGCCGGGCGACGGUUGUCCCGGUUUAAGCGUGUAGGCUGGUUUUCCAGGCAAAUCCGGAAAAUCAAGGCUGAGGCGUGAUGACGAGGCACUACGGUGCUGAAGCAACAAAUGCCCUGCUUCCAGGAAAAGCCUCUAAGCAUCAGGUAACAUCAAAUCGUACCCCAAACCGACACAGGUGGUCAGGUAGAGAAUACCAAGGCGCUUGAGAGAACUCGGGUGAAGGAACUAGGCAAAAUGGUGCCGUAACUUCGGGAGAAGGCACGCUGAUAUGUAGGUGAAGCGACUUGCUCGUGGAGCUGAAAUCAGUCGAAGAUACCAGCUGGCUGCAACUGUUUAUUAAAAACACAGCACUGUGCAAACACGAAAGUGGACGUAUACGGUGUGACGCCUGCCCGGUGCCGGAAGGUUAAUUGAUGGGGUUAGCGGUAACGCGAAGCUCUUGAUCGAAGCCCCGGUAAACGGCGGCCGUAACUAUAACGGUCCUAAGGUAGCGAAAUUCCUUGUCGGGUAAGUUCCGACCUGCACGAAUGGCGUAAUGAUGGCCAGGCUGUCUCCACCCGAGACUCAGUGAAAUUGAACUCGCUGUGAAGAUGCAGUGUACCCGCGGCAAGACGGAAAGACCCCGUGAACCUUUACUAUAGCUUGACACUGAACAUUGAGCCUUGAUGUGUAGGAUAGGUGGGAGGCUUUGAAGUGUGGACGCCAGUCUGCAUGGAGCCGGCCUUGAAAUACCACCCUUUAAUGUUUGAUGUUCUAACGUUGGCCCCUGAUCGGGGUUGCGGACAGUGUCUGGUGGGUAGUUUGACUGGGGCGGUCUCCUCCUAAAGAGUAACGGAGGAGCACGAAGGUUGGCUAAUCCUGGUCGGACAUCAGGAGGUUAGUGCAAUGGCAUAAGCCAGCUUGACUGCGAGCGUGACGGCGCGAGCAGGUGCGAAAGCAGGUCAUAGUGAUCCGGUGGUUCUGAAUGGAAGGGCCAUCGCUCAACGGAUAAAAGGUACUCCGGGGAUAACAGGCUGAUACCGCCCAAGAGUUCAUAUCGACGGCGGUGUUUGGCACCUCGAUGUCGGCUCAUCACAUCCUGGGGCUGAAGUAGGUCCCAAGGGUAUGGCUGUUCGCCAUUUAAAGUGGUACGCGAGCUGGGUUUAGAACGUCGUGAGACAGUUCGGUCCCUAUCUGCCGUGGGCGCUGGAGAACUGAGGGGGGCUGCUCCUAGUACGAGAGGACCGGAGUGGACGCAUCACUGGUGUUCGGGUUGUCAUGCCAAUGGCACUGCCCGGUAGCUAAAUGCGGAAGAGAUAAGUGCUGAAAGCAUCUAAGCACGAAACUUGCCCCGAGAUGAGUUCUCCCUGAGACUUUAAGUCUCCUGAAGGAACGUUGAAGACGACGACGUUGAUAGGCCGGGUGUGUAAGCGCAGCGAUGCGUUGAGCUAACCGGUACUAAUGAACCGUGAGGCUUAACCU